UUCAACAACGGAUCUCUUGGUUCUGGCAUCGAUGAAGAACGCAGCGAAAUGCGAUAAGUAAUGUGAAUUGCAGAAUUCAGUGAAUCAUCGAAUCUUUGAACGCACAUUGCGCCCGCCAGUAUUCUGGCGGGCAUGCCUGUUCGAGCGUCAUUACAACC
This 158-nucleotide ribosomal RNA is filed under the name Metarhizium flavoviride. RNAcentral describes it as "5.8S ribosomal RNA". It matches the Rfam family "5.8S ribosomal RNA". Rfam says of the family: 5.8S ribosomal RNA (5.8S rRNA) is a component of the large subunit of the eukaryotic ribosome. It is transcribed by RNA polymerase I as part of the 45S precursor that also contains 18S and 28S rRNA. The record is from RNAcentral. Lineage: Eukaryota; Fungi; Ascomycota; Sordariomycetes; Hypocreales; Clavicipitaceae.